CCAGAUGGCUGGAUGACUGCGCUUUGGACCGCGAAAGCGCCAAAGGGAGGAAAGUCCGGGCUCCACGGGAAUACGGUGCCGGGUAACCCCCGGCGGGGGCGACCCCAGGGAAAGUGCCACAGAAAGUAUACCGCCCAGCUUUGUCUUCGGGCAUGCUGGGUAAGGGUGAAAGGGUGCGGUAAGAGCGCACCGCGCUGCCGGUAACGGUAGUGGCAGGGUAAACCCCACCGGGAGCAAGACCGAAUAGGGACCCAUGCAUUAGCAGGCGCGUUCUCGCGUCGGGUCCGGGUAGGUCGCGUGAGGCGUUCGGUAACGAGCGUCCCAGAUGAAUGGUCAUCACCUAUAGGGUCCGCCCUGUGGGUACAGAACCCGGCUUACAGGCCAUCUGGCACU
RNAcentral lists this RNase P RNA (393 nucleotides) under Rhodospirillales bacterium. RNAcentral describes it as "RNase P RNA component class A". It matches the Rfam family "Bacterial RNase P class A". Rfam says of the family: Ribonuclease P (RNase P) is a ubiquitous endoribonuclease, found in archaea, bacteria and eukarya as well as chloroplasts and mitochondria. Its best characterised activity is the generation of mature 5'-ends of tRNAs by cleaving the 5'-leader elements of precursor-tRNAs. The record is from RNAcentral. Lineage: Bacteria; Pseudomonadati; Pseudomonadota; Alphaproteobacteria; Rhodospirillales.